AAUGCCAACCUCCGAGAACAAUAUCCAGCUUUGUACCGUAUUGUUCGCGAUAAGAAUGAUACUCCGACGCAGGUACUUAAUUCAUUCCCGCGGGAUAUUUCUUUCAGGUGGGAUUUGAUUGGCCCCCGUCUUAUUUCAUGGCAAAAUCUGUUAUCUCGAUUGGAGUCAAUUAACCUGACACAAGGAAGGGACGUGUUUUGCUGGAACCUCACAACAUCUGGGUCUUUCACAAUCGACUCUAUGCACCGUGUGCUCACGCAUUCAGAGGUCCUAGUGGAUGAUAAUAAGAAAAUUUGGAUGUCGAAGAUGCCACUAAAAUUUAAAAUCUUCAUGUCGUAUCUUCGAAGGGGUGUUGUGCUAACCAAAGACAAUCUCGCCCGUUGCAAUUGGAAAGAAAGUAAGGAGUGUAGUUUUGUACUUAUGACAAGACAAUCAAACACCCCAGUUUGCGAGUUCUACGUGGCCACUCAUCCAAAUAGCGUCCAAUUUUUAUCCGCCCACAAGUGUUGCCAAUAUCUUUUGUCAUUGGUUAGAUGGAAUUUCAAAUAG
This 549-nucleotide ribosomal RNA is filed under the name Triticum aestivum (bread wheat). RNAcentral describes it as "partial small subunit ribosomal RNA". Lineage: Eukaryota; Viridiplantae; Streptophyta; Magnoliopsida; Poales; Poaceae. The record is from RNAcentral.